RNAcentral lists this ribosomal RNA (253 nucleotides) under uncultured bacterium. RNAcentral describes it as "partial 16S ribosomal RNA". It matches the Rfam family "Bacterial small subunit ribosomal RNA", at positions 524 to 776 of the family's 1533-position model. The record is from RNAcentral.
UACAGAGGGUGCGAGCGUUAAUCGGAAUUACUGGGCGUAAAGGGCGCGUAGGCGGUAUGAUAGGUGUGAUGUGAAAGCCCUGGGCUUAACCUGGGAAGGGCAUCGCAAACGAUGAUACUGGAGUUGAAGAGAGGGUGUUGGAAUUUCCGGUGUAGCGGUGAAAUGCGUAGAGAUCGGAAGGAACGUCGAUGGCGAAGGCAGGCACCUGGCUUCAUACUGACGCUGAGGCGCGAAAGCGUGGGUAGCGAACAGG